GACGAACGCUGGCGGCGGGCUUAACACAUGCAAGUCGAACGGAAAGGCCCUGCUUUUGUGGGGUGCUCGAGUGGCGAACGGGUGAGUAACACGUGAGUAACCUGCCCUUGACUUUGGGAUAACUUCAGGAAACUGGGGCUAAUACCGGAUAGGAGCUCCUGCUGCAUGGUGGGGGUUGGAAAGUUUCGGCGGUUGGGGAUGGACUCGCGGCUUAUCAGCUUGUUGGUGGGGUAGUGGCUGACCAAGGCUUUGACGGGUAGCCGGCCUGAGAGGGUGACCGGCGACAUUGGGACUGAGAUAGGGCCCAGACUCAUACGGUAGGCAGCAGUGGGGAAUAUUGCACAAUGGGCGGAAGCCUGAUGCAGCAACGCCGCGUGCGGGAUGACGGCCUUCGGGUUGUAAACCGCUUUCGCCUGUGACGAAGCGUGAGUGACGGUAAUGGGUAAAGAAGCACCGGCUAACUACGUG
This 468-nucleotide ribosomal RNA is filed under the name uncultured bacterium. RNAcentral describes it as "partial 16S ribosomal RNA". It matches the Rfam family "Bacterial small subunit ribosomal RNA", at positions 28 to 507 of the family's 1533-position model. The record is from RNAcentral.